AUUGCCCCAGUAACGGCGAGUGAAGCGGCAACAGCUCAAAUUUGAAAUCUGGCCCCUAGGGCCCGAGUUGUAAUUUGCAGAGGAUGCUUUUGGCGAGGUGCCUUCCGAGUUCCCUGGAACGGGACGCCAUAGAGGGUGAGAGCCCCGUCUGGUUGGACGCCGAGCCUCUGUAAAGCUCCUUCGACGAGUCGAGUAGUUUGGGAAUGCUGCUCUAAAUGGGAGGUAUAUGUCUUCUAAAGCUAAAUAUUGGCCAGAGACCGAUAGCGCACAAGUAGAGUGAUCGAAAGAUGAAAAGCACUUUGAAAAGAGAGUUAAAUAGUACGUGAAAUUGUUGAAAGGGAAGCGCUUAUGACCAGACUUGGGCCCGGUGAAUCAUCCAGCGUUCUCGCUGGUGCACUUUGCCGGUGCCCAGGCCAGCAUCAGUUUGCCCCGGGGGAUAAAGGCUUUGGGAAUGUGGCUCCCCAGGGAGUGUUAUAGCCCAUUGCACAAUACCCUGUGGCGGACUGAGGUUCGCGCAUCUUGCAAGGAUGCUGGCGUAAUGGUCAUCAGCGACCCGUCUUGAAACACGGACCAAGGAGUCGUCUUCGUAUGCGAGUGUUCGGGUGUCAAACCCCUACGCGUAAUGAAAGUGAACGCAGGUGAGAGCUUCGGCGCAUCAUCGACCGAUCCUGAUGUUCUCGGAUGGAUUUGAGUAAGAGCAUACGGGGCCGGACCCGAAAGAAGGUGAACUAUGCCUGUAUAGGGUGAAGCCAGAGGAAACUCUGGUGGAGGCUCGCAGCGGUUCUGACGUGCAAAUCGAUCGUCAAAUAUGGGCAUGGGGGCGAAAGACUAAUCGAACCUUCUAGUAGCU
This 850-nucleotide ribosomal RNA is filed under the name Metarhizium flavoviride. Its description in RNAcentral is "LSU rRNA". It matches the Rfam family "Eukaryotic large subunit ribosomal RNA", at positions 74 to 952 of the family's 3401-position model. The record is from RNAcentral. Lineage: Eukaryota; Fungi; Ascomycota; Sordariomycetes; Hypocreales; Clavicipitaceae.